ACUUAGUGUUCUACCAGAAUGGAAAGUGGCGUCAUCUGUUGACCAAAAAAAAAAAAAUAUGGUCCGAAGAAUUUCUACCGAUAACUUUACUAAAAGAUUGUCUACUAUAUAGUAUCACGUCGAUGUGGCUGUCGAUAGGUGGACUGGACAUCAGGCCGAUUUAUGUCGACACCGUUAAAAAUGCUGUGGAGCGCCGAUAACCGUAUCCCGAUUUUUUAAAUAUUUAAAUUUUAUGUUUUGAUCGAUCGGAGGCGUCCAUCCACUUUCUUCAGCUGGACUCCAUCGCUUCCAACCCCACGGAUUCGGAACCCGUUCCAAUGCCGGUAACUUUGUUUCCUAACCCAUGCCGUCGAUAAUUACCUGGCGGCGUUUAAUUUUAAUUCAGCCCGUUAAAAUAAAGGACUGAAUUACGCUUAGAGUCGGCAUUGGCAGGCCGAAGUCGGUGUUACAUUUUUUCUUCUCAGCCGAUAGAAAAGUAGGGAUUUUCUUUAGAAUUUUUGGAUAUGUCUUCAUAUCUUUAAAAACCGAAAAAUAUAUUUUCCCGUAUAGAUACGAUUUAUUUACGCUAUCUUUAGUUUAGGCCGUAUCAAUUUUUGAUACUAAUGCCACCGGGGGACGAAUCUGGGUGGAACCCGAGUUUUCUUUUCUGGUAGCGCCAUCUCUUAUUGAAAAAGGAAAUUAUUCCGAGACGUAUUCCGGUGCAUUUAAUAAUAAUUUAUCGGAUCGAUUUGGAGGACGUCGGAUGAGAAAAGAGUUUAAAACACGGACUCCGUUUAUCCAUGAAAAAGUUUGGACUCCGACAGAAUUUCUAGAAACCGCGGCCCUCCGCUAUCGGCCACUUUUCUACUUAUCGACAGUCAGGAUGGAAUGCGACUACGGAAGAGGCGGUAGAGUCUGGCACUGUCCGUUGGUCCUAGAUGCGGCCAUUCGUCGAACUAUGUAUAAUCUGCGGGCAAACUAGUAAAAAAUAAAUGCCGAGUAUCCCGGGAAUUAGUCGUUUCUUAGUUGGAGAAUCGAAGCUGAGAUUUGCCCAGUGAAGGUUUUUGGUAGGAUUGUCCAUCCACCUCCAUCUUCCCAUCGUCUAAAUUUAGGACUAAAUGAUGGCCAAAAUUACUGGGCCAUUUAGCGUCGGUUGUAACCGAUAUUGUUUGGGGGAAUUAAUCACCGACCCCGAGUCGUAUUUUGUCUUUAUUCAGUUUUCUGAAGGAUCAUCUAAAACCACACAAUUCUUCAGCCUUAUGGGAUAAACUUUUAGUCGGACCAAAGCUAUGGUAUAAAAUAGGAAAUUGUUAAUUUCGUAUGUAUAUAUCAUAAUUUUGUCGUUGGAUAGAUCAUCGAUCCGUCCGUCUCAGCCCGGUAAAUUAACAUCUCUUAAUCAAACCUAUGUACAGUAUAGUCCGCCAUUAAAUCGACGUCGAAGAAUUUAGAGAAGGCGUAACAAAACUUGUCGGUCCCCAACGCCGUUUUCCAUCCGGUGGGUACUAAUCGGCGGGGCCAAGAGUGGUCUAUCACCAGCGCCCUCCGCCCUACCACGGUGACGCCCGUCUAGUAAAGGACGGGAUUGAACCGACCCAGCCCGAAAAAUUUGGAGAUUUUUUCCGUGAAGGAACUGGGAUCUUCCGGAGUAGAAACGCGGUUCCAUCGGCAUCAAACUCCCGUCAUCGAUGUAAAUCGAAAGUAUUCCUCACCUUUAAAUAAAACUUUCCGCCCGCUAUCCGACCAUGGGUGGUAGAGAAAAUUCUAGAAAAAUUUAUCCGAUAAUAUUGUUUCGAUUUAGGCCAUAAAUGGGUCGGAAUUCCAGAGAGUACGAGGUUUCUCCAGUCGUCUAAGUCGGAUACUAUAGUUUCCGAAUCAAACAGUAGGCGGCGGAAGAGUGUAACUUUUCGAUAAUCAUCCAUUUCGAUAAAAAUUUAGAUAACUGUAUUAACCAAGAUACAAAGAAACGACAGUGAAAGGUUUCCGGUAUCUGAAUCUUACCGGGCUACGCGGAUUCCGAGUGUAUCUCAGUAAGGCGUAACGUUUUUCCACGGAAUUCGAACGAUUGAAAGUCAUGGUAAGUGAUUUUCGUGUCUCGAGUUUGAUAGUUUCGGUUAGGCCUCAGAAUUCGGUGGGAGAGGCGACCAGCGCAGACACUUUUACGGCCACCCCAGAUCGAGAGGACGAACGGAAAACGGAGAUACGGAAGGAGUCGAACCCGGUCCUCCGAAAACGCAGCCAUGGCUCGACUGGCUGCGUUUUCGGAUGGCCGUGCCGGCAGCUUUGGCGUCUGGGAAUUACCAUUUCCAAACUUUUGGUGGCCGGCGCGCUUUCGAGAUAAAAAUCGUCAGUAGCAAAUCUUGUAUGGAUAUAAAAUAUCUAUAAUGUGGAAUCUGGACAAUUUUAGCGUUUGUAUAGAGAUACUAAUCGAGUCAGGCCCUCUACCAGUUUAGACUUAAUUUUAUAAUAAUUUUCUCACUUCCUGCAUCUAAUAAUAUAAAAGUAAUGGUUAGUUGCAUCUAAGCCCAUAUAAAAUACAACAGACGGUUACUCUCGUUUCCGAACGGAUGGGCCGCGCCACGGAGGGUGGUUCGAUCCGUCACUAGUGGCUUUAAUCCGAGUGGCUGGAGCAGACUCCGUUCCCAUAUCCGGUUUGGUGGUGGUUGGGGCCACUUCACCCACCGGGUGGUCGACGAAACUAGUGACCCGUCUCCGCGCUCGGUUACCGGCCACGUUCCCUAUGGCCGCGGGAACCGUAAAUAGUAUAAAUAUAAAGGUACAGAUAGCCAGAGAGACGAUGCCGACCGCGGGUGCCACCGGCUGGUUGUUUGGUCCAAAGAGAUAUAGAAUAAAAAGGCACGCUUCCUAUUCAGCCUAGGCGACAAGAGAAAUAAACCGGCCACUCAACUGGCUGAUCUUUAUAUAUAGCGCCACAACCGGUAGAUAAAUGAACUAACCAUAAAUGGGUAGUUCGAACAUCACAGAACUAAUUUCAUUGGCUAAACGGAUGAGGCCAUUAAUUUUCUUUCAUUUAUCUGUGGUUGGAAGCCGCGGUAUGACCAUUGUUUCCCAAAAUAGUGGCCAGUGUCCUCUCUUAGUCUAUAUCUGUUCGAUUCGGUCGGCUCAGCCACCGGUAUUUAAACGUGUAUUUAUCGGCUAUUUGUGAUGCAAGGUCCGGUCGAAGAGAAGUUUUCCUCACUAAUUGUAAAAAAUGCGGAAGAUUUAUUUAGUAUAACGGAACAGAAACCAUUUUUAUACUACAUUUGGUACCAUAUCGGCCGAUGACGCGCGGCUGAUAUAUAGGAAGUGGAAGGGCGACAGCUCGGCCGGACGCCCGAAUUGUCGCCACCAGGCGGGAGGGCAUCUUCCGAAAGUUUUUCGAGGUUCCAGGCCCGGUCCCGUCCUUUACCAUCGGUUCCUUCGCGGCUAUGGAUGCACCUGGUGGUUGGAAGUAGCCCGGACUCUUAGUAAUCUGCCCGUUUGAAAAAGGGCGUAAAAAUGCGAAGACAAAAAACGAAACGGAACCGGUUGUGGAAGUUUCCGGCGGGCCGAGUGGCGCGAGUGACUAUCCGGUGGCGCUUAGAGUGUGGCGGUGGAAGGCCACCCGACGGGGAGCGGUAAGAUCCGCUAGGACCGGUAAGUAAUCGGGUUAUCGGGCUGGGCGCGCGAUUAUAAAAGCUUUUAGGAUGUUAGUGGCCGGAAAAUUCGAUGACCGUAAUAAGAUUACACGGCCCAUCCGUCCAUCGGCCGUAGGUAGAUAUACCGUCCGUGGCUUAUUAUUUUCUGCCAGGCCACCCCCUACCCGGUCCGAUACAAACGAAUUUUUCUCCACUUCGGUCUCGACCUCAUCCCCUCUUAUUACUUUUCGAGACCAUUUUCCGCCGGGUAAGAGUACUAAUUGGCGGAGCCGAGACGGGCCGGGCCAUAAAUUUUUCCAGCGGUGAAAGCCCAGAGUCGAACUUCGAAGUGGAAGACGGAGGUUUCCAACGAGCCUGUCCGGUGGGGAAAAAUAAGCUCGAGUCGAGUCGCCGGGUGAGUUUCCGGUCAACGGGCAAAUCCGCCCAGGUCAGACAGUUAAUAUUUUCCCGGGCUUUCCAUCAGAAUUUAAUUAAUUGAUUCGAAUGAUGUGGUGGAAAGCGUUAGGUCCCGGUUGGCCGGAGAAGCGUCUCCUUCCCUAGUCCCGGAGCUAUUGGCAGCCUUUCCACACUCGACCGUACACUCUUCCGGCACUCUCGGGCCUGGAAUUCUUCGGGACCGAUAUCGGCCCGCCCUUCCACUCGUCUACCGGUGGGUAGACGAGUGGAGUCUGUUUUUCUUAUCGAACCAGACUCCACUCGUCUACCCAGCCAGAGAUUAUAAGACGGAUAUUGACUAUCCACCCGGAUGGGUCGGUCAACAGUCCGACCCCGACCAACCGGCCGAUGAAUAUGGAAAUAGACCGUAAUAACGCGCCGUUGGGGCCCGUCCGACGGCCACCACUCGGAGACUAGAGAGUGGGUGAUCUCCGGAUGGCUCUUACCCGCGGCUAAGUGCCAUCCGGCAGUUAGCCGCGGGUAUACGAACGAGAGCUGAGAGGUAGGAGACGGUUCGUUGGUCCGCGCGUACCGAACCAAAUGUGUUUCGGCCGACCGAUCUUAGAUGUUAGCGGGAUAGCUUCCGUCGACGAUUUUUGUCGGCCGGGCACUAAAAUACGGCUGGGAAUGGAAUAAUUAGGAGGGGGAAUAUUGGUCGGCAAGACGGAUGGCCUUCCCACCCGACGGAAACGAUCGUUUUAUGAAGCGUCGCGAUUUUAGCGCCUCAUUAAAUUUUCCUAUUAGUGACGCUUUUAUUACCUCCUCCCGGCUUAUUUAUCGACCGCGCUUUCCCGGCCCGGGCCCGGUAGGCCCAUUAACCACUUCGCCUGUUUUUCCGCCCGUCGGUCCAGCCCUUUUCCGCAGCCUGGCCCGGAUCCCCGCUCUGGGCCGGUGUCGUUUUAUUCAGAUAGGUCUAAAGAACGAAAGGAUGGCUGUGGCCGUUAUCGACCAGUUUGUUUAUUUGGCUGAUAUUACUCCGGCGGUAAACAUUUUAAACGAAAUAUUUGACUUUUUCGUCUUUUAUUUGGCCACUCUUCGCCGCGGUCAAAAAUAUCAAUAGAUAAAUGCGUAACGCCGUCCGUGUACCGUAAAAAUCGGGGCGGUAGGUGGCGCCAUCUAUUAGUCAGAAAUUCUAUCCGGACCACGGUCGGCCACCGCUUCUCCCACCACCUUCGAGUUAAAGUAUCUCGGGCCCGGCCGGCCGCGGCCACUCGCGGACGGUAGGCCCGGUGGGCGAUUCUUUUACCGAGGUCGAGCGCCACGGCUCCACUUUAUCCGGGUGGCUACGGACGUUGGCCUAGGUCUGGACAGUUUAAAAUUCCGUGUCGGGGGCCGCUUCUAUCGUCCCUCCAAAAAACUACUGGUACGGCUUACCGCCCCAAAUACCGGAAGGAAGAAGACUUAAUAGAACACUGGCUGGUCUCACCACUAGACGCUUCUAAAUUGGUUUAUCGGAUUGACCGUUAAAGUUGGGCCCAUAGCGGCAAAAAACGGUGGGUCUACUGUGGGCCCGAUAACUGGAGAAUCUGGCCCGGGCCCUACCCGCCACUGUGGCGUCCGACUCGAUAGUCUUUAAGCCACCAGAUGAGAUAAAAGGCAGUUGCAAUUUCCGCCGCGGUUUCGGUUGUCCGCCCAGUUAGAAAGUUUCACAAAAAUUUACCGGGGCCUGGUAUCGGUAGUUGGCUGAAUUUACCUCCAUCUCCUUUGUAUAGGCGGUAGUCACGGGAUUGGAACUUGGAUGGCUGCGGUGGGCCGGUUGAAGGCGACUUUAUGAAUCAUAUUAACCACCGGUUAGGUGCCACCAGCGCCAGCCUGGAGGCCGGAUUAGCCCCCGGGCUAGCGCUGGUGGCACCUACUGUCUCUCCUCGGCCGCGCUCCUCCGUUGACGUUUUGGUGCGGGUACUGGUGUGGGCCAGUCUCCGUCGAUUAUUUAUGAAACGCGUCGACCCGUCCUCUUUCGGUUUAAUAGAAAUUGGCUAUUCGGCUGUGGAAUUUUUCGGAUCCCGAGGCCGGUGGCUAGCCGGAGACUUUCUCCCGUCGCGUCUAUUUUUUCCCAACUACCCCUUUCCCGAGAGGGGACUCUAUGGCCCAAUUCGGACGGAAAGUCGGCCGGAUUGUCCGCGUGGAAACGCUUCGGCUUUCCACUCUGGACCGGGUUGGAGUCUCGGGUCCCACCUCUU
RNAcentral lists this long non-coding RNA (6229 nucleotides) under Androctonus crassicauda. Lineage: Eukaryota; Metazoa; Arthropoda; Arachnida; Scorpiones; Buthidae. The record is from RNAcentral.